This is a long non-coding RNA of Triticum aestivum (bread wheat), 1494 nucleotides long. RefSeq lists it as uncharacterized. The record is from RefSeq and is a predicted model, not a curated record. The transcript is spliced from 4 exons. NCBI's taxonomy places the organism in Eukaryota, Viridiplantae, Streptophyta, Magnoliopsida, Poales, Poaceae.
UCCGCUCCGUGCCCCCGACGCUCCGUGCCCUCGCGCCUGCGCCUGCUCCGCUCCGUGCCCCCGACACCCCUGCUCUGCUCCGCCAUGGAGGAUGCGCUCCGCCAUGGAGGAUGCUGCUCCACCCCGCCAUGGAGGAUGCUGCUCCACCCCUGCGCCGCUCCGUGCCCCCGACGCUAUGGAGGACGCCGCUCCAUCCCUGCUCCAGCCUCAAGACUGCAUAAAAGUUCUGCAUUGCCACUGAACUGGAGCAUUUUCUGGUCGCCGCCUUGCUUGCGGGUUGCGCCGGCAUAGGGAGGCCACGAGGACCAUGUUGGCGACGUCGAUCGGUUGGUCGCCCUGCAUCUCAAGUAAGCAAGGAGGGAGCUUGCUGCCAUCAAGAUCACCUGGUUCUGAGGCAUCAUCUUGUGGAGGACUCAUGUUAAGAUCAAUCCCAAACAUCAUUGCGGCGGUGGAGCACUUGCUCAGGUAACUGUUCAUGUUCCAAUAAGAAAGAACAUUCUGGUCAAGUUAAAUCAGCUAAAUCAAAGAGGCACCUGAAAAUAGUUCUCUCCACAAGAAUUGUUUGCUAGACUGAUGGUUAUUGCUUCAUUGGUUAUUUGCUUCAUUGGUUAUUGCAGAACAAGUAGGUAGUGAUGGGCUGCUUGCUUGAGCCUACACCAUGCUGUCUUUUGUUCAGACUUGAGAGUAAACAAAGAGCAGCUGUUAAAAGCUUUGUUUCUUUUACAAUUCCUAGAUAAGUGGAACAGUGGAAUGACAUUUGGCAUUCAGGACAUGUACCACUUAUUUUGCAUUCAGGACAUGUUUGCAAAAUGCAUAAUGCAAAGGUUCAAGCUCUAUUCAAGUUCUGUUUAAUCCAGCUUCAUUUGGUAUUCAAGUUCUGUUUAAUACCAGCAGCAAUUAAGUUCUCUUUAAUUCAGUAUUCAGUACAGAACAUCAAGUAUUCAGUAUUCAUAAACAUCAAGGUGGAUCCGGCCGAGCUCUGCCGGUGGCUCAAGAGGAAGAUGAGUAAGGAUGUCAAGAUCGUCUGCCCUCAUCCGCCGGUUGCGAAUCCUAAGCAUAAAAUGAUACUGGUUCUGGGAAGCAGCUCAAGAACUGGGAACCGGGGACAAUCAAGGGAGGUGAUCAGCAACAGUAAGAAGGCUCUGCUAGACAAUGCCCUGAGCCAGCCCGACGCGUUCAAGAAACUAGAAUCACUCACUCAGUGCCCUGAUCUUUCAAGUAUUAAGCAAUCCAGCAAUUAAGAACUCAUGAUCUGAGUAAUUCAAUAUUCAGCUUUACAAUCAAGUUCUUUUUAAUUCAGCAGCAACAGCAACAGAGGCGGGGGCGGGGAAUACCAGCAGCAACAGAGGCGAGGGCGGGCACGACCUUCGGAGGAGGGCCAGCACGGAGAGGAAGACCCUGGGCUUGGAGGAGAGGUUGAGCAGGGCCAACGCGGCGAUGAAGACCCUGGGCCAGAGCGGCGACGAAGACCCAGCGCCGCGACGGCGUCCAAAA